Cricetulus griseus (Chinese hamster) is the source of this 70-nucleotide microRNA precursor. The record is from Ensembl. NCBI's taxonomy places the organism in Eukaryota, Metazoa, Chordata, Mammalia, Rodentia, Cricetidae.
CCAGCUAGCCAGCUUGCCCUGGGGAUCCUGUCUCUGACUCCUGAGUACAGAGAUUAUAGGAGAGCCACCA